UUUACUUAUUAUUUAUUUUCUAUUUUUAAAUAAUAAUGCCACAUGUCAUCUUUCGAGAGAAGUUUUUUUGCUGAUGUAGACGCUCUAUGGAGUCUCAAAAGGUUGUAUUUUUUCUUGGUUUUCGGUUAAGUCCAUAUUCGGUUGUGGUUUUUGUUUUUUUUGGUGGCUUCACAAAGUUUCCUAAAACAAAAUUUUUUUGACUCAAUUUUUUUUUCUAAUUUCUUUUCAUGAGUAUCAAUACUUAUGUUGUGUUGUAGAAACAGAUCAAGACUCAAGAACAAGCUAGACUUGUUUUUAUCACUAAGAAAACAUUUUUUGUUCAAAGAGUAUACCUGGUUCAAGUUUCUUUUAAAGAAUGUAUAAUGUUAUCAAAAACAUAAUUUGAAGCUCAAAACUCUUUUAUUUUGUCAAGACCAAAACGUUUCUCUUCUUCAGAAAUAACAAACACGAACAAACUAGUGUUACACUAAACUAAUAUUAUCAGGGUUUUUUAUAGUGCCUAGAGUCAAGAGAGAAUGAUUUAGCAUUUGUCACACAAGAGUUGCGGAAAGCUCUUGAUUCACUCACUCUUGUUUAUGGAUAUGAAACACCAAGACAACAUGAGAGGUUGUCGAUUGACCAGAGUUCACACUCCCUGAUAAUCAAGUUGUUCGUAAGAACAAAUGAAUCAUCAAAGUAAUUUUGUUGAGAUUUUUUUCUCGGGAAAAAUAUACCUUUUCUUGGGGCCUCUUGAUUAAAAACUUAGACAUAAACUUGCUAGGACAUGUUUGCAUGUGUUCUUGACUUACUCUUGAUGGAAGAAUGCAUUGAUUUACCAGAACAAACAAAAAUUUCAUUUGGCCAUCAGGUGGCCUUCAUAAGCCAAUAUUACCGAGAAAGUGAAUGCUUUGUCCAUCUCUCAAUUCACCAUGAUCCAGGCUGAUUUUUGCUCGAUUAGAGUUCUCCAAAAUUCUCUUUGAGUUCUGGUUGGUGAUUCUUUUCCCAAAGCUUUUCCUUCGUCUAUUUUGGGUAGUCUUGAUCAGUUGCAAAGCCGGCUGGGGUUGUCUCAAAAGCUAUAGCUUUAUUCGCAGUCAAAAAUAUGAUGAUUUUUGCAUUACUUCUUAGCCUAUUGAUUUUGGGCAAUUCUCCUAAAUAGACUCUUUUAAUUUUUCAUCCCAAAAGUAGCACCUCAAGCUGAAAAUCACAAAAAUAAAUUCAUUAAUAGGCUAGAAGACUUUAAUACCCUUACAUAUCAAUAUAAAUAUAAUAAAAAAAAAACUUUUGUUUCGCUCUCGACAUUCUCGUCGACGAAACCGGAGACGAACACCGGCGACGACACCGGCGACGACACCGACGAUGAACACCGGCGACGACACCGACGAUGAACACCGGCGGCGACGACAGUGUUAAAAUCACGGCGAAUCUACAUUGUAAGUUUGAAUGUUUUCAAUUGUUAUUUGUAAUUAAGAAUUUUUGAUUCAAAAUUUGGGAGUUUCGCUUCGGUGAUGUUGCAGGAGAAUUUCAGCUGAAACAAUGGGAACCUUUUUUUUAUUCUCAGUGAAGCUUACCAUGGCUAUGGAGAUGAUUGGGUUUUUGUCAAGAUCUCUUCUUCACUUCUGGUUUCAGAUUUAUAGGCUUGGAGCUUCUAUUGUCAACACUUCACUACCCCACACGGAUUCUGAUUUACAGAACAGAUUUGUGAAUCCACAAAUCCUGCUAUAGACAUGCAAUGUUCAGGUGCUGAAGAAAUCUUGGGUGGUUCUAUCUACGACCCAGCCUACUACACGUCUCUUUUUGAAGAGACCGAAACCAACUUGAAUUCACCAAAGGCAUUACCACUGUGCUUUAUCUCAAAGACGAGAUCACAAUUGCCACACCUGGAGCACUAGAUAGGAAAAGAGAGCACAUGGUAUAGUAUCAUUGUCCCAUGACUCAUGUGAAACCUUACUCACAACAUCAUGCAAGAACGACAUAUCUGAUUUUUAAUAUAUACACUUCUAAACUUUUCAUAGUAAUUGUCUAGUACUAUGAGAAAGUCCUCAUUUUGAACUUGUUUAGUUGUUUAAUUUACAUUUGAGCUUGUUUUGUUGGAGUCUUUGGCUUAGUAAGAAUAUUAAAUCUCUUUGCCUUCUCACUAUGCAUUUAGAACAAUACUCUAAAUUGAUGUGAUUAAACACAUGCUUGUAACCAAAGUCAGGUUUUCUUUGGAUGUAUUUUGCAUCUUUAUUUCAUAAUUGCCACUAGUUCCGGAUGGCUAUCCUAAAUUUGAACACCUGGAGCACUAGACAAUAAAUUUGAACACCUUGAGCACUAGUUCUAGAUGGCUAUCCUAAAUUUGAACACCUGGAACACCUGGAGCACUAGUUCUGAAGACUUUGUUCUUGUUCGGGAUGACUAUCUUAAAUUUGAACAAAGUCUUACAAAACAAUUCAAAAAGAAUAAAAUUUAAUCUUAAUACAAUCCUUGUUCAGGAUGACUAUCCUAAACUAGAACAAAGUCUUCAAAAACAUUUCAAAAAAGCGAGUAAGGAAAUCUCUAUUCAGGAUGGCUAUCCUAAAUUUGAACAAAGUCUUCGAAAACCGGCAAAUCAAAAAUUUUGCUUUGAACUCCAUUCUCCACAAACACAAAUAAUCUCAACAAUAUGUUGAAAAGUUGUUAAAAAGAUCAAAACCAAAUCUCAAAAAGAUCAACCAACUGUGAAUCAGAGACAUUUGAAUAAAGCCCUCCAAAACAAUUCAAAAGCAUACAAGGUAAUCUUAAGGCAAUCCUUGUUCUGGAUGGCUAUCCUAAAUUUAAGAAAAGUCGUACAAAACAAUUCAAAAAAAUACAAGGCAAUCUUAAGACAAUCCUUGUUCAAGAUGGCUAUUCUAAAUUAGAAAAAAGUCUUCAAAAACAUUUCAAAAAAGCGAGUAAAACAAUCUCUGUUCAGAAUGGCUAUAAUAAAUUUGAACAAAGUCUUCCAAAAGCGGCAAAGCAAAAAACUUUCUUUGAAUUCCAUUCUCCACAAAUACAAUUAAUCUUAACCAUCUGUUGAAAACCCGUUAACAAGAUCAAAACCAAAUCUCAAAAAGAUCAACCAGCUGUGAAUCAGAGACAUUUGAACUAAAUCUUCCAAAACAAUUCAAAAAAACGUGUAAGGAAAUCUUAAGGCAAUUCUUUUUCUGGAAGGUUAUCCUAAAUUUGAACAAAGCCCUCCAAAACAAUUCAAAAAGCAUACAAGGAAUUCUUAAGACAAUCCUUGUUCGGGAUGACUAUCAUAAAUUUGAACAAAGUCUUACAAAAAAAUUAAAAAGAACACAAGGGAAUUAUAAGACAAUCUUUGUUCAGGAUGACUAUCCUAAAUUAGAACAAAAAUCUUCCAAAACAUUUCAAAAAAGCGAGUAACGCAAUCUGUGUUCAGGAUGGCUAUCCUAAAUUUAAACAAAGUCUUCCAAAACCGGCAAAACAAAAAGUCAUAUAUAUCAUAUUUAUAUUAGGAAGAUCCUACAAAUUUCAAAUUGUUUUGGAAGGUUUAGUACAUAAUUAGGAACACUAUCAUGAAUAGUAUAAGAAAAUAUAAAUUCAUUAAAAAACAACACUAAAAGGUCUGAAAUGAUUUACAUAUUGCUAUCCAAACACAAGAUAACCAACUCUCUUUCAAUUUCAAGAUAAACUUUGUAAAAAUUACUUGCUUUGACUAUCGUAUGUUUCAUAUAUGGUGUCCACAUUUAUUAUAUAUUUUAUAUAUGAAAACUUGUUGUAGCAAGUGUUUCUGAAGAUCAAAUUUGUCCCUUGAUGUUUCUCUCUUCUUUGUUUGGAAAACGUCCAAGAACACCAAGAUUCCCAAUACAUAAAGGAUCAAGCUUGUGCCCAUGUAAAAAUCCACAUUUGAAGUUGUUGGUAAGAUAAUUGAUCCAACUUAACAUUGUUGAACCAAAUAACAAACUCUGACAUUGAUUUUCUAGAUCCUUUAAACAAAAACUGACAUUAGCGGUUAGCAAAAGGCACAUAAAAGCAUCUUCUAUCUCUGCAAUUUCAGCUUCUCAUUGUACCAUUCUCCAAUAUAUGUGUGUAUCCAAAAUCAUCCUCCUCUGAAACAUUGCAACUAAAAUGUUUUGUAUAUUAGUGUAAGCCUUUUGCAUAUUUCUUCUUCUUACGUGUAACAACUAAAAAUUCCAUGUGACAUCUACAAAUGGGUUUCAUAUCAGAAUUGAUAACCUGACUUUUGGGAAGCAAAUUCAGUAAAGUAGCUCUUUGUUACUUAAUUUCUAUGAUUUAGGAGCCAACAUAUGUUUCUUCUUCCCAUGCACUUUGUGUCUUCUUAGAAACAUUAUGUCAAACACUUUGUGCACAAUAUUCUUAUUCAAAACAUGAGGCCCUUCCUCCAUAGCUAAUCAGUCCUCAUGAUGAAUCACAACAUCAAUUUCAGGAUCAAUAUUUAUUUCUCCAUAGCUAAACAUUAUGUCAAUCAUCGUUAUGUUACUUCGUAAACAACAUAACCAAUCUAAUUGAAAACCUUCCAAAAUGGUUUGAAAAGAUUUUUUUUUUUCAAAUAAUCAACCGUAGAAGACUAUGGAUAUGAUAUACCUUGAUGAUGACCAUAAUAAGAUACAACAAAACUGAGAGAGAUUGUCGACGUCAAAGCUGAGGGAGAUCAUCGAUGGCAGAUCGACAACGACGGAGCUGAGGGAGAUCGUCGACGAUGGAGCUAAGAGAGACCGUCAUAACUGACUUUGACGGAGCUGAGAGAGAUUUUCGCAAAGCUAAGGAACAACGAUGGCAGAGCUGACAGACGAUGACGGCGGAUCUAGGGGACGACGAAGGAGAGUGACGCCAGAGCUGAUGACGGUGAGAUGAAGGAGGUGAAGACGACGACGAUGAUUGAAUAAUCUUGGAUUCAAUUUUUUUUGUUUUAAUUAAUUGGGAAAUUAAUGAAAAAGAUAAAAAGUUAAUUGAUCAUCUUAAAUGAAACAUUGGACCUUGAAGUCUAGAUUGGGAAGAAAAAGUUGGCGUAUGGCUAUCUAAGGCCAUUUCUCUUGAUUUUUUCUUUCAAUGUAAAUAAAAAUAACAAUGGUAAAAGAUAGAAAGUUGAGAAUGGUUUUAGAGGAAAAGAAACCUUGCUUUUAAACCAACUAGGAGUUAAUCCGCGCUACGCGCGGGACUAUUUUGAUUUUUAAAUGUUAACUAUAUAGUUAUUCAUUUGAACGUUGUAUUCUGAACAACAACAAAAUUCUAAAUUGUAUGUUUGUGUGAAUAGUAAUUUCUUUAGGAAAAAACAGAAGACUAUACAUUUUUCAUAUAGAUGUUUUAUAUAGUUUUCCAUUUUUUAUAUUAUAUAUUUACUUAUUAUUUAAAUUUUCUUAAUUUGUAGGGCAACUCUUUCAAAUAGUCGUUUUUAAGUUUUUGUCACAAAAUAGUCAUCAAUAAGGAAAUGACCAAAUAACCCAUUUUAUUUUGAAAAUUUAAAUAUUUCUUUUUUAUUUUUCAAACUUUGAAAUCAUAUCCACAAAACUCCACCCCGUAACUCUAAACCCUAAGUCUAGAUGUAUUUUAACUCUUUAAUAAAUGUUU
Brassica napus (rape) is the source of this 5529-nucleotide long non-coding RNA. RefSeq lists it as uncharacterized. The transcript has 3 exons. Lineage: Eukaryota; Viridiplantae; Streptophyta; Magnoliopsida; Brassicales; Brassicaceae. The record is from RefSeq and is a predicted model, not a curated record.